RNAcentral lists this ribosomal RNA (497 nucleotides) under uncultured bacterium. Its description in RNAcentral is "partial 16S ribosomal RNA". It matches the Rfam family "Bacterial small subunit ribosomal RNA", at positions 28 to 507 of the family's 1533-position model. The record is from RNAcentral.
GAUGAACGCUGGCGGCGUGCCUAAUACAUGCAAGUCGAGCGAACAGAUGAGGAGCUUGCUCCUCUGACGUUAGCGGCGGACGGGUGAGUAACACGUGGAUAACCUACCUAUAAGACUGGGAUAACUUCGGGAAACCGGAGCUAAUACCGGAUAAUAUAUUGAACCGCAUGGUUCAAUAGUGAAAGACGGUUUUGCUGUCACUUAUAGAUGGAUCCGCGCCGCAUUAGCUAGUUGGUAAGGUAACGGCUUACCAAGGCAACGAUGCGUAGCCGACCUGAGAGGGUGAUCGGCCACACGGGAACUGAGACACGGUCCAGACUCCGACGGGAGGCAGCAGUAGGGAAUCUUCCGCAAUGGGCGAAAGCCUGACGGAGCAACGCCGCGUGAGUGAUGAAGGUCUUCGGAUCGUAAAACUCUGUUAUUAGGGAAGAACAAAUGCGUAAGUAACUAUGCACGUCUUGACGGUACCUAAUCAGAAAGCCACGGCUAACUACGUG